This 1098-nucleotide long non-coding RNA is filed under the name Marmota monax (woodchuck). The record is from RNAcentral. Lineage: Eukaryota; Metazoa; Chordata; Mammalia; Rodentia; Sciuridae.
CACAUAUUCCUGCUGGCUCCUGACCAGCAUCUCUCCAAGUAGAGCUGUCAGGAUUAAUUACUUAGAUUUUUGCAUAAGAUGACAAAAUAAGAAGCCUCUGUGAGUGCCAAGUGUUAUCAGUUUUCAUCACAACUUGGGUAUUUGGUGGAAUAGCUCAUAGAUUAGACAUUUUCAGGAAAUCUAAAUCUUGUUAACCUUUCUUGCUCUCCGACUUUCUUUUAUUCCACUAAAGUUCAAUGAAUUGUGAUUAUUUAUUGCUACUUUUAUUUUUUUUUAACUUAUCACCUUCCUUCUAUCUUGAAGAUUGUUCUGGCCUUUUUGUUCUAUGUGCUUUAGGUUAAAGGUAAUGCUCCACUGUAUAUGUAAAUAGAAAUCUGUUAGGAUAAAUAGGAACAGUAAAAUGAAGCUGUAGGGAAAAUCUUAGACAUUGUCUUGAUUAUUAUUCACAGACUAAUUUUUCCCUUCAGAAUGGAGCUCUUUCCCCUUACCAACCCCAGAUGCAGCAUCUUGUAGAGGGGAAAGGUUGAUGCCCUAUAAACAUCUUCAAGAAAAAUGGUUACAACCCAUAGGACAUGCCCCCUUCAUUCACCAAUGUAUAGUAAGUACUUUCUAAGAAACACUUUCUAUUUUCUUAAUAACACAAGUUUGUUAAGCUUUGCAAAGAUCUGCAUCGGUGCUAGUGAUGCAAAAAUAAGUGUAUUAGUUGGCUUUCAGCCACUAUAAUGAAUACUUAAGAUAAUUAGCUUAUAAAGAGAAAAGGUUUAUUUUGGAUUACAAUUUUGGAGAUUUCAGUACCUGAUUGGUUGGCCCUGUUCAAUGAGGCCUAUGGCAAAGUAUUACAGCAUGGUGGAGCAGUACUCUUCAACGCAUGGCCAGGAAGUGAAAACAGAGGAAUAGACCAGGGUCCCACAAUUCCUGUUGAGGGCACGUCCUCAGUGACCUGAAGAUUUCCCACUAAGGCUCAUCUCUUAAAUGUUUCACCCCUUCACAAUAGCUUUACCACAUGGGCCUUUGAAGGACAAUCAAGAUUUCAACUAUGGCAAUGACUAUGAUAGAUUCUUGGUUUGAACUGGCCCAAAUCCAAAUAGGAAGAUAAAU